RNAcentral lists this long non-coding RNA (1032 nucleotides) under Lupinus mutabilis. RNAcentral's name for it is "partial ncRNA". Lineage: Eukaryota; Viridiplantae; Streptophyta; Magnoliopsida; Fabales; Fabaceae. The record is from RNAcentral.
CCGCAUUUUUUUGCUGGCAAUGCGGGCCGGCCUGCGGGCAUGGCCCGUUUUGCCAUUACUAACUGCGGACUUAGUAGAAGAAGCUCUCAAGUCUCAUUAUUCAGGUGUGCCUAACAAGAGUUUAAUGCAUCAAUGGAACAUUAUUUGGAGAAUGCGAAAUGACGUAAUUUUUGGAGAAGACAAAAUAAGCUUCACUCAUCUACUUCAUAAUGUGAAGUUGAAAUCAUGGUUGUGGUUCUCAAGUCGUCAUCAAAAGAAGACCCCUUUAACUGUUAACACCUGCUGUUUAUCACAUAAAUCCUGUAUUUUUUCCGAUUAUAAUUUUUAACUCAUUUCGAAUCUUUUAAUAAAAUUUAUUUUCUUAUCAAAAAAAGUAAUCAAAGAAAAUGCAUUAAAAGAGUAUAAGGGGUCCUAACCAACAACACAAAACAACUUAACAUAGGAUAUUUCAAUACAGAACAUGACACGCGUCCCAACAAACAAACACUACAUAAUUAUUUCCUACAUCAGAAGAAGAAAACCACAGCAAGGACCUAAAGCUUAAUUAAUUUCAUAAUUGUAAAAAAACUCUACUCUCUAGUAUUGAAAAGCAAAUUGUUUGUCAUCAACAAAAGAGACUACAUUGUACACACGAAAGCAUGCACCACAACUGAACCCCUUUUUUCUUCUUCUUCCAAAAAUUAAGAUGCAAUUUAAACAAAUCACAAAAUUUGCUCUAAAGCACAGUCUAAGUUGCCAAACCUUGUUGAGCAACAAAUCCAUAGCAGUUGCAAUUCAGAAUUAUGGGCUAACUUCUCAAACGGUUAACUGCGAAUAAAUGAGCAUUUAAGUCUUCUAUCAACACAAACAGCUUUCAAAAAUUCUGUUUAAAUUAGUACUAACCAAAAUACCCAAAUAAAACGUUAAAGAGCCAAUAUUACAAGAGAAUAAAGUCUCUCUUGUUCCGGUCAAUAUGAGAUUUUUUAUCUCUUUGUGCCCAAUUAAAGAGAGACACAUGUAUAAACUAUUUUUAUCCUUUAUUUUUCUCUCUCC